AUACUUACCUGGAGUAGGGGUUACCGUGAUCAACAAGGCGGUUUCCCCAGGGUGAUGGCCCUCCAUUGCACAUCGGUUGGGCUGAGCCCUGCGAUUAUCCCUAAUGUGGAUAACUCGGGCGCGUAAUUUUUGGUAGUCGGGACUGCGUACGCGCUGUCACGGU
RNAcentral lists this small nuclear RNA (163 nucleotides) under Diabrotica virgifera virgifera (western corn rootworm). Its description in RNAcentral is "U1 spliceosomal RNA". It matches the Rfam family "U1 spliceosomal RNA". From Rfam's summary of the family: U1 is a small nuclear RNA (snRNA) component of the spliceosome (involved in pre-mRNA splicing). Lineage: Eukaryota; Metazoa; Arthropoda; Insecta; Coleoptera; Chrysomelidae. The record is from Rfam by way of RNAcentral.